AUCAGAUACCGCCCUAGUUCUGACCGUAAACGAUGCCAACUAGCGAUCCGCCGGCGGAUUCAUUCGCCCUGGUGGGGAGCUUCCCGGAAACGAAAGUCUUCCGGUUCCGGGGGAAGUAUGGUUGCAAAGCUGAAACUUAAAGGAAUUGACGGAAGGGCACCACCAGGAGUGGAGCCUGCGGCUUAAUUUGACUCAACACGGGGAAACUCACCCGGCCCGGACACCGUAAGGAUUGACAGAUUGAUAGCUUUUUCAUGAUUCGGUGGAUGGUGGUGCAUGGCCGUUCUUAGUUCGUGGAGCGAUUUGUCUGGUUUAUUCCGAUAACGAGCGAGACUCUGGCCUACUAAAUAGUUGGCACAUUGCCACUGUGUGCCCAACUUCUUAGAGGGAUUUUCGGUGUUCAGCCGCACGAAAUUGAGCAAUAACAGGUCUGUGAUGCCCUUAGAUGUCCGGGGCUGCACGCGCGCUACACUGGCAAAAUCAGCGUGCCUGUCCUCCCCCGAAAGUGGUUGGUAAACCGAUGAAAAUUUGCCGUGAUUGGGAUCGGACAUUGCAAUUAUUGUCCGUGAACGAGGAAUCCCUUGUAAGGGCGAGUCAUCAACUCGUCCU
This 609-nucleotide ribosomal RNA is filed under the name Rotylenchulus reniformis. RNAcentral's name for it is "SSU rRNA". It matches the Rfam family "Eukaryotic small subunit ribosomal RNA", at positions 1007 to 1642 of the family's 1831-position model. The record is from RNAcentral. Lineage: Eukaryota; Metazoa; Nematoda; Chromadorea; Rhabditida; Hoplolaimidae.